This 566-nucleotide small RNA is filed under the name Pan troglodytes (chimpanzee). RNAcentral's name for it is "processed transcript". Lineage: Eukaryota; Metazoa; Chordata; Mammalia; Primates; Hominidae. The record is from RNAcentral.
CAUUUCAAGCCCACGGUGCAGACAUUCAGUAGGAUCCAGACAGCCUCUGCUCUAGAAGGCUCAGCAGAGAAGGACUUUCUGCAGGGCGACUGCACCAAAGCGAAACAGAAGCUGAACUGGAAGCCCCGGGUCGCUUUCGAUGAGCUGGUGAGGGAGAUGGUGCACGCCGACGUGGAGCUCAUGAGGACAAACCCCAAUGCCUGAGCGCGCCUCGGAGCCCGGCCCGCCCUCCGGCUACAAUCCCCGUAGAGUCUCCGGUGCAGACGCGCUGUGGGGAUGGGGAGGGGCGUGCCAAUCUGCGGGUCCCCUGCGGCCCCUGCUGCCGCUGCGCUGUCCCGGCCGCAAGAGCGGGGCCGCCCCGCCGAGGUUUGUAGCAGCCGGGAUGUGACCCUCCAGGGUUUGGGUCGCUUUGCUUUUGUCGAAGCCUCCUCUGAAUGGCUUUGUGAAAUCAAGAUGUUUUAAUCACAUUCACUUUACUUGAAAUUAUGUUGUUACACAACAAAUUGUGGGGCCUUCAAAUUGUUUUUCUCUUUUCAUAUUAAAAAUGGUCUUUCUGUGAACUAGCA